CUACCGAUUUCGAGUGAUCCGGUGAACCUUCUGGACUGCGCUAACAUUAGUUAGUGCGGGAAGUUAAGUAAACCACUUCACUUAGAGGAAGGAGAAGUCGUAACAAGGUUUCCGUAGGUGAACCUGCGGAAGGAUCA
Molecule: ribosomal RNA, 137 nt
Filed under: Cryptocaryon irritans
Lineage: Eukaryota; Ciliophora
Description: partial 18S ribosomal RNA
Rfam family: Eukaryotic small subunit ribosomal RNA
Source: RNAcentral